Molecule: non-coding RNA, 152 nt
Organism: Exophiala sideris
Lineage: Eukaryota; Fungi; Ascomycota; Eurotiomycetes; Chaetothyriales; Herpotrichiellaceae
Source: the annotation of a GenBank genome assembly
GCCUCUAUGGCGCAGUGGUAACGCGGUAUGAUACAUCUAUAGCCGGACUUUGAGUCUUUACUAAACGAUUGUCAGUCGCACUUGUACCGCUGGAAAAUACUUCCUUAUGCCAUAAAAUGCGAAGAUCACAAGUUCAAUUCUUGUUGGAGGCA